CCCCGUAACCACUUGGGCCAAGGCCUCCCAAUCUUUCCACCCCUAAGAAAAAUGCCAUUCCUUCCAGAGUCGAUGAGGAUAAGGAAAGCUGCGUCGGCCACCGCCGGUGCGGCGCGCCGGUCGAGAGGCGUACAGGCCUCGGAGGAAGCAACCGGCUCAGCCCGUGGUGGCGCAAUGGCAGCUGCUCGUCGCGGAGCCGAUGCGAGCAAGGGCGGGCGGCGCUCCGGCCGUGCUGUGGCGUCGACCUGUCCGUUGAAUCCAAGGCCAUUCCAGGGCCUUCAAAGUCCCGGCUUGAGCAAAGGUGCUAACCUGCAUUUGGAUUCCUGCUCUGAACUUAAUUUGCAGUAUAGGUUAUUCGCUUGAGGUGCAAAGGGGGGCAUAUUGAGUUCAGUGUACAAUUUAUUUGAUGAAUGACACAAAUGGCGUGUGCCACAGUGACAUGAAGUGUACAAUUUGGUUAAUGAAUCAAAUGGCGUGUGCUACAGCUACAUGAACUAAAUCAUGACUAUAGUAUUUUGCAACGUUUUGGACACAUAAUUUUUUUUAACUGAUCAAACAGCAGAAGGUGUUAAUCUUAUUCAGUAGGAUAUUAUAUCAUGGAUGGCUUCUGAAAGUAAAAGUCUGAUUAAACUCUUUUAUCAACAAAAAAAGGUACUAUACAUUUAGUACGGCAUAUUAAGUUGCAGGACAUGGGUAGGGGUGAGGACGGUUCCCCCUCUGUUAUUCACAACUUCUCUCAUAUAAUAAACUCAUAUGGAGUACAAGUUAUUAUGAAUAACCACACAAAAGAUCAGCUCAUGGAGAGCAAGCCAUAAAGUAUACAAUUAAGCUGUACUAAGACCUGCAUAUACUAACGGCCAUCAACUGUUGUGAUACUCACUGCAUUCACAGAGUUUGAUGUAAUCUCCCUUCCUUCUUCGUCCGCACAAGUACCUUGAGCAAAAUACACAGGUUGCUUUGGAGCUGGAAGUGGUGCGCUUCGUUCUCGAACAUAAACAUAACCGAUGACAUAAGUGGCCUAUCCCUAGCAUGGUCCUGAACACACAAGAGUCCCACAUGAAUACAACGCAGAACUUCAUGAAGUCGGAAACUUGCAACAAAGGAAGAGUCCACAAGUUCAAUGGCGUUUCCAUCUUCCCACAGUCUCCAUGCCUGAGCAAUAGAGUGAGGUCAACAUCAAGUUACUAACUUUACUGUUGGGAAAGGGGGGAGGGGGAGAUUGAAA
Molecule: long non-coding RNA, 1225 nt
Filed under: Triticum aestivum (bread wheat)
Lineage: Eukaryota; Viridiplantae; Streptophyta; Magnoliopsida; Poales; Poaceae
Description: long non-coding RNA (TAES_LNC021377)
Source: RNAcentral